Molecule: long non-coding RNA, 4995 nt
Filed under: Citrus maxima (pomelo)
Lineage: Eukaryota; Viridiplantae; Streptophyta; Magnoliopsida; Sapindales; Rutaceae
Description: long non-coding RNA (CMAX_LNC001172)
Source: RNAcentral
GGAAAUUUGAGGUUUUGAUGACUGCCCAUGCUAUUGUCAGAAGCUGCGGUUCUUUUCAUCAGCCUGAACCUGGACCUGCCGCUAUGGAUAACUCAGGUUUUUUUUUUUUUUUUAAUCAACUGCCAUCUUUUCCACUGUUUAGAAACUCUUAAGAUUAAACUUUAGUAAAGUUGUUUUAGUUAUCCAUGUAAUCAGGCUGAGGAUACUUAGCUGCCUAUUUAGGCAAAUGUCAGAAUUUAGUUUGUUCGCUGGGAACUGGUGUGGACUGGCAAAGGAUGAUGAGAUAGUUUUUUGAGUGAGUAAAUUUUGGGAGCUUGAGUGUAUUGGGAUUUGCAAUUACAAUCAUCGUCUGCCUCAGGUGAUUUCUUCUCCUGCUCUGUCAUUGUUUGUUCUCUAAUUCAAAAGCAUAAAAUAUUUCAAUCAAUUUUUAUGCCAGGAAUAUGCAAAAGUUUCUAAUAUUUUAUUUCCAUCUGUUACAAGAUCAAACUGAAGCAGAACUCAAACAAAAGUAUGCUACUUCUUGCGGAAAUCUUGCCUUUGUUCAGAUUAUGAAACCAUUUCCAUGCAGCAAAUUCAUCCAAAAGUUUGAAUAAGUUUCAUGGUUGGACACUGUUGGCUUCUUUUUCUUCUGGGGUGCAUUUAGGUGCUAUCAAGUGACAGCUGUAAGUAUGAUUGCACUAAGCUGCCGCUGGGAAAUUUGAGGUUUUGAUGGCUGCCCAUGUUAUUUUCAAGAAACUAUUGAUGUAAGAAGCUGUGGUUCUUUUCAUCAGCUUGAACCUGAAACUGUCGCUAUGGAUAACUCAGGUUUUUGUUAUCAACUAUAUCAUCUUUUUCACUAUUUUGAAACUCUUAAGAUUAAACUUUAGUAAAGUUGUUUCAGCUAUUCAAAUGAAAAACUCAUUGAUUUGAGACUUCCUUCAUUAUUGUUUCUAAUUACAAUGCUAACGAUCCAGAUAAAAUAAUAUUUAAUCGGCGAAGGUGUCCCUUGGAAGUACAUCCUUCUUUUUCUUUUAUUAUAUAAAUUCUUGCAAUGAGCUUAGUGAAGCUGUUGUGCUAAUCAUGCCACUGCAUAAUUUGGCCCCUAAUGUGGGUACUCUGUUACAUUGUUCUGCAAAUUCUCCAGAAGUUAAAAUCAAUAAAUUUUCUAUUAGCUCUAGUGCUUUGACCUAAAUGCCAUUCUAUAUUUUGAUUACAAUGUUUUAACCUUUAAAUUAACUACCCCUAGAUGUUGGAUUUUCUAGAACUUCAAAAUGAUUAAUGGAGAAAGAUCCCAUUAUCGUUAUUGCUAUAAGAAAUUGAUUUAUGCAUCCAAAGAUACAUUAUAUAUUUCUGUGUCUCUAUUUGUAGAUGACAUUUAAGCAUCCAUAAACCGUCAGACAGAGGAAGGGGGUUCAGUGCAAAGAUUCUGUUGACCUAGGGUUGACUGCAUAAUGUCACUUGUUCGCAAUCUAUUAUUUAUUUUAUAUUUUGAAGAAUUUAAUGGGUAAUCCUAAUUGUUUGUUUUGGCAGGUAUGUGUUGUUAUCUCCUUCUAUCUAACAGUCGUACCUAAAUAGCAUAGUUUCAUCUGUGUUACCAUGUGAUGUACAUAAUUUCACAUUUGCCUCAGAUUAAGCUUAAUUUCCCACAGAAUAGAGCUGUCGCGACUGGACUUAGGUUGAUGUCCAAAGAGGUAAAUUAUUGGCAUGCCUAGAUAAUUUGGCCAUUUCCUAAUUCAUAAGUCUACAUUAAUUUUGAUUUUGAGUUGACUGAUUUCUUUUCAAGGUCUGCUUCCUUAACGGAGUGACCAAUGUUUUUCAACUAAAUUUAUCAUAUGAUGCAGGAAGCAGGGCAGGAUAUGAAAUGAGAAGCUCAUUGGUGGAAGUAUUGCCAGUAACAGAACCCAAAGAAAAUGAAACUAUUUCAAGGCAGCAGUUGGCAGUUGCAAGUGAAUGGAGGCCCUGACAAAAUUCUCAAGCGGUUGCAAUGCAAUUACGAUCAUCCUCAGCCUCAGGUAAUUUCUUCUCCUGCUCUGUUUUUAUUUGUUAUCUAAUUAAAAAGCAUAAAGUAUCUUGAAUCACUUUCUGUAUCUGGAACAUAUGCAGCAGUUUCUAAAAUCUUCAUAUGAGUGUAAUGAUGGUAAUUUCUGUUUUUUGUCUGUCAUUGAAUGUUAGACAACUUUCAGUGAGACUCUUGAACCGAGACAUUUUUGACAAAUGAAGGACAAUUGCUGAAGAGUGGGAAUGGUGCUAGAUUGGGGAAUAAAGACAAAGGAGGUAAAUUAUUUGCAGUUUAUUCAGCAUUAUUUGCUUUGGACCAGCGCCUGAUUCACAAGUCUCCAUAAUUUGGCUUUUGACCAGUUGUUAAUAAAUUUUUUAUUCCAUUGGUGCUAAAUGUACACGUGAAGCAGGCAGAGCAGGACUGUGGAAAUGAGAAGGUUUUUAGUGAAAGCUUAAACUCAGGUAAUUCUAAAAAGUACAUGUUUUUGCUGAUUUAUCUAAAUCAGGAAAUUUUAUUUCCAUCUGUUACAAGAUAAAACAGAAACAGAACACAAAGAAAAAUAUUCUACUUCUUGUGGCAAUCUUGCCUUCAUUCAGACAAUGAAACCAUUUCCUUUCACCAAUUUCUUCCAAAAGUUUGAAUAAGUUUCAUGGUUGGACAUAGUUAGCUUCUUUUUCUUUUGGUGCAUUUAGGUCCUAUCAAGUGACAGCCAUAAGUAUGAUUGCAUUAUUGGGAAAUUUUAGGUUUUGAUGGCUCCCCACGUUAUUGCCAAGAAAGUCCUCAUGUCAAAAGCUGCGGUUCUUUUCAUCAGCCUGAACCCGAACCUGUCGUUAUGGAUAACUCAGGUUUUUGUCAUCAACUAUAUCAUCUUUUUUACUGUUUUGAAACUCUUAAGAUUAAACUUCAGUAAAGUUGUUUCAGUUAUCCAUGUAAUCAGGCCAAGGAUAUUUAGCAGCUUAUUUAGGCAACUGCCAGAAUUCAGUUUGUUUGCUCGAAACUUGUAUGGUGACAAGGAUACUGGCAAGGAUAGUGAGAUAGUUUUUUGUGUGAGUGAAAUUUGAAAGCUUGGGUGUUCUGGGAUUUGCAAUUGCAAUCAUCCUCUGAGUCAGGUGAUUUCUUCUCCUGCUCUGUCUUGAUUUUCUCUCUAAUUGAAAGCAUAAAGUAUUUCAAUCAAAUUCUGUACCAGGAGUACAUAAAAGUUACUAAUAUUUUAUUUCCAUCUGUUUGCAUUGAUAACUCGGCAUAUGUUCUAGUUAAAGAACAAACAGAAACAGAGUUCAGGAAAAAGUUUCUUCGGCCACCAUAUUUGAAAAUGAAACCAUUUCCAGGAAGCAGUUGGCAGCAAAUUCAUAUGGAGUGUAGACAAUGAUGAGCAAAAAGGUGAUUCGCAAUUUCUUUUUUUUUUAAGUGAAAUUAUUUGUUAGAUUGAAGCUGAUAUUGUAAGAAGGCCAUUGAGCUAACCUAUGUCGUCACUUGCCUAGAUUGCAGGGGGUCAAGACUCAAAAGAAGCACUGAAAUUUAAAAAGCAUGGAAUAGUUCUUUUGCCAUGUGUCAAUUAAUGCAAGUUUGAAUAAGUUUAUUGGCUGAACGAUGUUAGCUUCUUUUCCUUUCGUGCACUUUGGUAUGCUAUCAAGUGACAGCCGUAUGUAUGGCUUGCAUAUAGCUGCUGCUGGGAAAAUUGACGAUUUCAUGGCUGGCCGUGUUAUUGUCUUAAAUUAGUUGUGAUAAGCUGUUGCUUGGAGAUUCUGUUGCCAAGACUUUGCUCACAUCAGAAGCUGUGGAAUCUGAACCCUUCGUUAUGUAUCAUCUUUUUCAUUGUUUUAAAACUCUCAGGAUUAAACUUGAGCGAAUUUGUUCGGUUGUCUAUAUAAUCAUGUAUUGAGUAAACUCUCAGGAUACUGAGGGUGAGAGAAAUUAGAGGGUGUAUAGGGAUUUGGAUUUGUUAGGAAGUUAUCAUUUUUAUUUUUAUUUUUAUUUUUUUCCCAGAAAAUCUUCUGGUGGUGCUAUAUUUUCAAACGACAGUCCGAUUCAAAACUUGAUAUUCCAAUUAUAUUCAUAAGCUUCUACAGUUAUCUUCAAAAAGACAAAUGGAAGGCUUUGAACGGCUUGGGUCUGAGUAUUGUAGUUUGAUUUAUUUUGAUGAAAGUACCUUUUGACAUUGAGAUUCUUUCAUGAGUUAAACAUUCUUUUUAAAACCAACUUAUUAAAAAAAAAAAGUAACUAACAUAUAUUAUUUUGUUAGUGCUUUUUAAAUCAAAUAUAAAAAAGAGAACUGUAAUUCUUAGCAACCAAUUUUUCACUGAGUACACCUACAACAAACUAUUAAAAAAUAAAGUGAUAGAAAAUGCCUGAUUUUUCGUACUUUCUAAUUACUUUUGGUCCUAAAAUAUGGCAAUUUGUGUAAUAAUAAGCCCAUGUAUAUCUUUAUGCCAUUAGUUUGAUAAAUAGCUAUCAAGGAUAACUUAUUAAGCUAAAAAUAUUUGAAGGAUAAAUUGAUUUAUGCAUCCAAAGAUACAUUAUAUAUUUCUGUGUCUCUAUUUAUAGAUGACAUUUAAGCAUCCAUAAACCGUCAGACAGAGGAAGGGGGUUCAGUGCAAAGAUUCUGUUGACCUAGGGUUGACUGCAUAAUGUCACUUGUUCGCAAUCUAUUAUUUAUUUUAUAUUUUGAAGAAUUUAAUGGGUAAUCCUAAUUGUUUGUUUUGGCAGGUAUGUGUUGUUAUCUCCUUCUAUCUAACAGUCGUACCUAAAUAGCAUAGUUUCAUCUGUGUUACCAUGUGAUGUACAUAAUUUCACAUUUGCCUCAGAUUAAGCUUAAUUUCCCACAGAAUAGAGCUGUCGUGACUGGACUUAGGUUGAUGUCCAAAGAGGUAAAUUAUUGGCAUGCCUAGAUAAUUUGGCCAUUUCCUAAUUCAUAAGUCUACAUUAAUUUUGAUUUUGAGUUGACUGAUUUCUUUUCAAGGUCUGCUUCCUUAACGGAGUGACCAAUGUUUUUCAACUAAAUUUAUCAUAUGAUGCAG